RNAcentral lists this ribosomal RNA (353 nucleotides) under Alexandrium margalefii. Its description in RNAcentral is "partial Bacterial large subunit ribosomal RNA". It matches the Rfam family "Bacterial large subunit ribosomal RNA", at positions 560 to 915 of the family's 2925-position model. Lineage: Eukaryota; Dinophyceae; Gonyaulacales; Pyrocystaceae. The record is from RNAcentral.
AUGCGUACAAGCAGUCGGAGCGGACUUGUUCCGUGACGGCGUACCUUUUGUAUAAUGGGUCAGCGACUUAUGUUCAGUGGCGAGGUUAACCGUUUAGGGGAGCCGUAGGGAAACCGAGUCUGAAUAGGGCGAUUUAGUCGCUGGGCAUAGACCCGAAACCGGGCGAUCUAUCCAUGAGCAGGUUGAAGGUGCCGUAACAGGCACUGGAGGACCGAACCCACUGUCGUUGAAAAGCCAGGGGAUGACUUGUGGAUCGGAGUGAAAGGCUAAUCAAGCCCGGAGAUAGCUGGUUCUCCCCGAAAGCUAUUUAGGUAGCGCCUCGGACGAAUACCACAGGGGUUAGAGCACUGUUU